Non-coding RNA from Aedes albopictus (Asian tiger mosquito), 68 nucleotides. Lineage: Eukaryota; Metazoa; Arthropoda; Insecta; Diptera; Culicidae. The record is from Rfam.
UGCCCAGCAACUCCUAUCCCUACUUCCUCGUGGUAACGGCCGGAAACUACGAGCAACCUUAGGGAAGA